UCCUGGGUGGCUCAGUCGGUUGAGCGUCUGACUUUGACUCAGGUCAUGAUCUCACAGUCCGUGAGUUCGAGCCCCACAUCAGGCU
This 85-nucleotide transfer RNA is filed under the name Felis catus (domestic cat). It matches the Rfam family "tRNA". Rfam says of the family: Transfer RNA (tRNA) molecules are approximately 80 nucleotides in length. Their secondary structure includes four short double-helical elements and three loops (D, anti-codon, and T loops). Further hydrogen bonds mediate the characteristic L-shaped molecular structure. tRNAs have two regions of fundamental functional importance: the anti-codon, which is responsible for specific mRNA codon recognition, and the 3' end, to which the tRNAs corresponding amino acid is attached (by aminoacyl-tRNA synthetases). tRNAs cope with the degeneracy of the genetic code in two manners: having more than one tRNA (with a specific anti-codon) for a particular amino acid; and 'wobble' base-pairing, i.e. permitting non-standard base-pairing at the 3rd anti-codon position. Lineage: Eukaryota; Metazoa; Chordata; Mammalia; Carnivora; Felidae. The record is from Rfam by way of RNAcentral.